Molecule: ribosomal RNA, 443 nt
Filed under: uncultured bacterium
Lineage: Bacteria
Description: bacterial SSU rRNA
Rfam family: Bacterial small subunit ribosomal RNA
Source: RNAcentral
CCUANGGGUGGCUGCAAUUAGGAAUUUUGCGCAAUGGGCGAAAGCCUGACGCAGCGACGCCGCGUGACCGAUGAAGUCUUUCGGGAUGUAAAGGUCUUUUGCAGGGGAAGAAGGAUGUGACGGUACCCUGCGAAUAAGCUCCGGCUAACUACGUGCCAGCAGCCGCGGUAAUACGUAGGGAGCAAGCGUUGUCCGAAUUUACUGGGCGUAAAGCGCGCGUAGGCGGGCUAAUAAGUUGUGGGUGAAAUGCCGAGGCUCAACCUCGGCGCUGCCUGCAAGACUGUUGGUCUUGAGGUAUGGAGGGGAAAGUGGAAUUCCUGGUGUAGCGGUGAAAUGCGUAGAUAUCAGGAGGAACACCGAUGGCGAAGGCAGCUUUCUGGCCAUAUCCUGACGCUGAGGUGCGAAAGCUAGGGUAGCGAACGGGAUUAGAUACCCCUNUANUC